Long non-coding RNA from Dromaius novaehollandiae (emu), 1790 nucleotides. RefSeq lists it as uncharacterized. The record is from RefSeq and is a predicted model, not a curated record. The transcript has 2 exons. Lineage: Eukaryota; Metazoa; Chordata; Aves; Casuariiformes; Dromaiidae.
UUAUUUGUCCUCUUCCCUCCUGCUCCCCCCCCCCCCUUUUCCCUCCUCUCCCUCCUCCUCCUUCUUUUCCAGUUUAGCAGCACAAAUUUCUGUUUGUGCCAGUGGGGCGGCCUGGCGAGACCACAAUUGCUCUACCCCACAGAUUGACGAGCCCUCAGAUGCCGAUUUACUGUACAUGGCAGCCACGCUGGAGCCGAGGCACAUCUGGAGUGGAUGUCCUGGAGACUCAAAUCCCAGUAGAAGAGGGCCAAAAUUCCUCAUGAACCACUUUGGCAAGGCAGGUGUAAGAAUCCUUCUCAUCUGGUGAAGCACUGGGCAUUACUUCCCUAGGACUGUCUAAAACCACCAGAGAUGCAGCUCAGUAAGAAGAGGACUGACUGUGUGGCAUAGGUGUUUGGCAGCCCAGAAAGACUGAACGAUGCUCCUCCAAGUUCUGCAAUAACCUUUCUGUGCCUAAAACCAGACACAGGAUCGUGGCUCCAGAAAUACAUCCAGGGAUGGUACAUGUUUUGUUGUAGGACUUUUGCAAUCUAAGUGAUUACCAGAUAGAUAAAAUGGCUUGUUUUGGAUGAGAAGAUCAUUUUAGAAAAAAAAACAACCUCAUACUCCUGCACAGAAAAGCUGAUGGAACCAGUCUCAAAAGUAAAGAUGUUUGGCAAACUUCACAGAGGCCUUGGCAGCUCACUGAAAUCUAAACUUUUCAUGGGGACGGUUGGAUUUCAACUAAGUUGUGCUGGAGCCCUGCAGGGCUCCAGAGGACUCCUGCCUGGCAGGCAGACCAUUGCUCAACUCCCGGCCUGCUGGGGUAGAGGAUUGAUGGCCUGUCAUUGCAGGAUGGCCCACCAAGUAGACUACCUUUGAACUAGAGACCUCAGGGCUUCCAGGUUUCAAAACUGGGACAACAGUUAUUUUGAAACUUUGUUGAUAUGUUUUGAUAUUCAUUGGAAAUAUUUUGAUUUCAAUGAAUUAGCAAAUCCUGACCCCAGAAAAUGUUCCAUAGGAGUUUUUUGAACAGCUCUAUUCCAGACUAAGUUUAAUGACCCUGAAGGGGGAAAAAAAAAGGCUUCCUCCACAAACAAAAUAGAAAUAAAACAAAAUCCAUUGAAUGACUCUGAAGCAGGGUGUCUCUGACCCUAUUUAUUGGACAUCCCUGGUUGUAAUCAGUCUGGUGUCCUUGGACCUCCAAUAAACCAGUCUGGGUUCCGUCACACAGUUCUAACCUUAAUUUUAAACAUGAUAUCCUGAUAGUAAUUGUUUAACUUGUUAUUUUUUUUCCUUUCCAUUUAGUGCACAUUUGAAAUUGAUUCAAGUCCUUGUUUUGCACUAAUGCCAAAAGUGUCCAUGAUGUCUAGAAAUGAAAUCUUCUUGGUAGAUGACUAUGCAUCCUGCUGGUUAUGCUAUUGUGAUUAUAUUAAUAGCACAUUCUGCAACUUGAUGUUGCAGGUGCAAAACUCUCCUUCAGCAGUACAUAACUCUUUCAUCUGCCAUUUCUUGCCAGUAGAUUUCCUGCCCAUAUGAACAUUUCUUGUGAAAUUUCUGGAGAAUAGCUGCUGGGGUUUUGCCAGUUGUAAAACAAACAAACAAACAGACAAACAACCCCCUUCCAAAGCUCAACAACCUCCCCCCUCCCCAAUCCUCCCUCUUAGAAACCUCUGCUCUUCAUAGUAGAUAUUCUACAUGUAAUAAAAAAAGACUGGUCAUGAAGAAAUAAACAUUGUGGAUUAAUGUAGCAAAGGUAAAAUUAAAAAAUUACUGCAGUUGCAUGGUGCCAAUAAAGUUGCCAGAGCCUG